This 330-nucleotide ribosomal RNA is filed under the name uncultured eukaryote. RNAcentral's name for it is "partial 18S ribosomal RNA". It matches the Rfam family "Eukaryotic small subunit ribosomal RNA", at positions 1470 to 1796 of the family's 1831-position model. The record is from RNAcentral.
CCCUUAGAUGUUCUGGGCCGCACGCGCGCUACACUGAUGCAUUCAACGAGUCUAAAACCUGGUCUGAUAGGGCUGGGUAAUCUUUUGAAUGUGCAUCAUGAUUGGGAUAGAUGAUUGCAAUUCUUCAUCUUCAACGAGGAAUGCCUAGUAAACGCAAGUCAUCAGCUUGCAUUGAUUACGUCCCUGCCCUUUGUACACACCGCCCGUCGCUCCUACCGAUUGAAUGUUCCGAUGAAUACCAUGGACUGAGAGUAUGAAUGGGUUCGCCUAUUUCUGCUUCUCGGGAAGUGGAGUAAAUCUUAACAUUUAGAGGAAGGAGAAGUCGUAACA